RNAcentral lists this ribosomal RNA (253 nucleotides) under uncultured bacterium. RNAcentral describes it as "partial 16S ribosomal RNA". It matches the Rfam family "Bacterial small subunit ribosomal RNA", at positions 524 to 776 of the family's 1533-position model. The record is from RNAcentral.
UACGUAGGGUGCAAGCGUUAAUCGGAAUUACUGGGCGUAAAGCGUGCGCAGGCGGUUCGUUGUGUCGGCGGUGAAAGCCCCGGGCUUAACCUGGGAAUGGCCGUUGAAACUGGCGAACUGGAGUGUGGCAGAGGGGGGUGGAAUUCCGCAUGUAGCAGUGAAAUGCGUAGAGAUGCGGAGGAACACCGAUGGCGAAGGCAGCCCCCUGGGCUAACACUGACGCUCAGGCACGAAAGCGUGGGGAGCAAACAGG